GCUAAAGUAGCUUAAGAUAAAGCAUCAGUCUUGUAAACUGAAGACUAGAGAUCACCACUCUCUUUAGUC
Molecule: transfer RNA, 69 nt
Filed under: Potamotyphlus kaupii
Lineage: Eukaryota; Metazoa; Chordata; Amphibia; Gymnophiona; Typhlonectidae
Description: tRNA-Thr
Rfam family: tRNA
About the family: Transfer RNA (tRNA) molecules are approximately 80 nucleotides in length. Their secondary structure includes four short double-helical elements and three loops (D, anti-codon, and T loops). Further hydrogen bonds mediate the characteristic L-shaped molecular structure. tRNAs have two regions of fundamental functional importance: the anti-codon, which is responsible for specific mRNA codon recognition, and the 3' end, to which the tRNAs corresponding amino acid is attached (by aminoacyl-tRNA synthetases). tRNAs cope with the degeneracy of the genetic code in two manners: having more than one tRNA (with a specific anti-codon) for a particular amino acid; and 'wobble' base-pairing, i.e. permitting non-standard base-pairing at the 3rd anti-codon position.
Source: RNAcentral